UACGGUGGGGGCAAGCGUUGUUCGGAAUUACUGGGCGUAAAGGGUUUGUAGGUGGCUUGUUAAGUCAGACGUGAAAUCCCUCAGCUUAACUGAGGAACUGCGUCUGAGACUGGUGAGCUUGAGUGCAGGAGAGGAACGCGGAAUUCCAGGUGUAGCGGUGAAAUGCGCAGAUAUCAGGAGGAACACCCGUAGCGAAGGCGGCACUCUGGGCCGAUACUGACACUGAGGAGCGAAAGCGUGGGGAGCGAACAGG
RNAcentral lists this ribosomal RNA (253 nucleotides) under uncultured bacterium. RNAcentral describes it as "partial 16S ribosomal RNA". It matches the Rfam family "Bacterial small subunit ribosomal RNA", at positions 524 to 776 of the family's 1533-position model. The record is from RNAcentral.